GAAAUGCGAUAAGUAAUGUGAAUUGCAGAAUUCAGUGAAUCAUCGAAUCUUUGAACGCACCUUGCGCUCCUUGGUAUUCCUUGGAGCAUGCCUGUUUGAGUAUCAUGAAAUCUUCAAAGUAAAUCUUUUGUUAACUCAAUUGGUUUCUACUUUGGUAUUGGAGGUCUUUGCAGCUUCACACCUGCUCCUCUUUGUUCAUUAGCUGGAUCUCAGUGUUAUGCUUGGUUCCACUCGGCGUGAUAAGGUAUCUAUCGCUGAGGACACUGUAAAAGGUGGCCAAGGUAAAUGCAGAUGAACCGCUUCUAAUAGUCCAUUGACUUGGACAAUACUUUUAUGAUCUGAUCUCAAAUCAGGUAGGACUACCCGCUGAACUUAAGC
Molecule: unclassified non-coding RNA, 378 nt
Filed under: plant metagenome
Description: partial contains 5.8S ribosomal RNA, internal transcribed spacer 2, and large subunit ribosomal RNA
Rfam family: 5.8S ribosomal RNA (bases 1-105)
Source: RNAcentral